RNAcentral lists this unclassified non-coding RNA (202 nucleotides) under Psathyrella piluliformis. RNAcentral's name for it is "partial internal transcribed spacer 2". The record is from RNAcentral. Lineage: Eukaryota; Fungi; Basidiomycota; Agaricomycetes; Agaricales; Psathyrellaceae.
AAUUCUCAACUUCAUCAGCUUUGUUAUGAAACUGUGUGGAGCUUGGAUGUGGGGGUUUGUGCAGAGCGCGUAAAAGCAACCUGCUCCCCUUAAAUAAAUUAGCGAGUUCAAACUGGGCUCCGUCUAUUGGUGUGAUAAUUAUCUACGCCGUGGAUUGGGUUUAGACUUGCUUCUAAUCGUCCGCAAGGACAAUCUUUUGACA